GACGAACGCUGGCGGCGUGCUUAACACAUGCAAGUCGAACGGAAAGGCCUGCUUUCCCUUGUGGAUUGCGGGUACUCGAGUGGCGAACGGGUGAGUAACACGUGAGUGAUUUGCCCCUAACUUGGGUAUAAGCCUGGGAAACUGGGACUAAUUCCCGAUGGGGCUGCAGGGUGGGGCCGGUGGUGGUAGACGAGUUGUUAGUGGUUGGGGUUGGGCUCGCGGGCUAGCAGCUUGGCGGUGGGGGAAUGGGCUAGCAAGGGGGCGACAGGUAGCCGGCCUGGGGAGGUGGACGGCCGCAGGUGGGCUAGAUUACGACCCAGAGUCCUACCGGAGGCAGCAGGGGGGAAGAUGGCGCAAAGAGCGGAAGCCUGAUGCAGCGACGCAGCGUGGGGGAUGACGGCCUGCGGGUUGUAAACUCCUUUCGAACGCCAGGAAGCCACCUGGUUGGAAGGGUGGUGACGGUAGUGGUAGAAGAAGCACCGGCUAACUACGUG
This 494-nucleotide ribosomal RNA is filed under the name uncultured bacterium. RNAcentral describes it as "partial 16S ribosomal RNA". It matches the Rfam family "Bacterial small subunit ribosomal RNA", at positions 28 to 507 of the family's 1533-position model. The record is from RNAcentral.